Molecule: ribosomal RNA, 497 nt
Filed under: uncultured bacterium
Lineage: Bacteria
Description: partial 16S ribosomal RNA
Rfam family: Bacterial small subunit ribosomal RNA
Source: RNAcentral
GAUGAACGCUGGCGGCGUGCCUAAUACAUGCAAGUCGAGCGAACAGACGAGGAGCUUGCUCCUCUGACGUUAGCGGCGGACGUGUGAGUAACACGUGGAUAACCUACCUAUAAGACUGGGAUAACUUCGGGAAACCGGAGCUAAUACCGGAUAAUAUCUUGAACCGCAUGGUUCAAUAGUGAAAGACGGUUUUGCUGUCACUUAUAGAUGGAUCCGCGCCGCAUUAUCUAGUUGGUAAGGUAACGGCUUACCAAGGCAACGAUGCGUAGCCGACCUGAGAGGGGGAUCGGCCGCCCGGGAAGUGAGACAGGGUCCAGGCUACUACGGGAGGGCGCAGUAGGGAAUCUUACGCAAUGGGCGAAAGCAUGACGGAGCAAGGCCGCGUGAGUGAUGAAGGUCUUCGGAUCGUAAAAAUCUGUUAUUAGGGAAGAACAAAUGUGUAAGUAACUAUGCACGUCUUGACGGUACCUAAUCAGAAAGCCACGGCUAACUACGUG